GGCGGAGGCUGAGGAGCCUGACCUGGUUUUUCGACUGCUCUCCUUAUGGCCUGACGCUGACAGAGGCAAAAAUCUGCUAACUCAGGGGGCAGACUCAACAAGGGCUUCGAGGAGGCCUGGGAAAUGAUCCCCUGAUCUUCAAAGGGUGCCUUCCACGGCUGGACUGCCAUCUCCAGCUCUCUCUGCCACCCAUGGCUCUUGGCCCUGGCUCUGGCCCUCUUUAAUGUCACUUCUCUUGUGAUACAUGGGCCCUCUGUCUCCUGCCAGGACCAUGAGGCUCUGGAGGCCUCGUAGCCUGGGGGUGGCUCUGGGAGUCUUCAUGACCAUCGGAUUUGGCCUUCAGUUCUUGGGGGGAUCAUUCCA
RNAcentral lists this long non-coding RNA (363 nucleotides) under Rattus norvegicus (Norway rat). Its description in RNAcentral is "long non-coding RNA NONRATT007830". The record is from RNAcentral. Lineage: Eukaryota; Metazoa; Chordata; Mammalia; Rodentia; Muridae.